UCUAAAUGCACACCUAUGGGAGCCAUGAUAUUUUAUUAAUUACAGAUUUUAUUGUUGCUAAUAUCUAUUUAUUUUUGAAAUACAUUGCGUUUAAAACCUAUUCGAAUGUUAAUAAAUAAAACUACGUUCGCUUAAAUAUUUCCUAAAUGCAGUUUAUAGCACGAGUCCUAUAUCUCUUGUAAUUAAUACUGUAUUUAUGUAUAUGACACCAGAAGAGAACUAUGUUUCGUUCGAGAACGACGAACAUACAUAUAUUAUUUUUUCAGGUCCAGUGUUAAUCGUGUUAAUUGUUAAAGUAAACCGUGUUAAAAAAAGAAGAAGAAAUCUAAUUUAAUACAUACGUAUUUCUUUAACAAAAUUUAUAACACAUAUUAACAGAUUCAAGGAAAUACUAUGAAAUAAUACUUGUCGCUUUGGCAACAGUGA
This 426-nucleotide unclassified non-coding RNA is filed under the name Bombus terrestris (buff-tailed bumblebee). RNAcentral describes it as "misc RNA ENSBTSG00005037338.1". The record is from RNAcentral. Lineage: Eukaryota; Metazoa; Arthropoda; Insecta; Hymenoptera; Apidae.